GAAUGGACAGCACCAAGCGCACCUGCAAGAGACGCCGCGGUAAAUCGUCGCGCCUCCUGCGACAAGAACGGUGUGUAGUCCUCGACUCUGCCCAUUUCGGUGACACGCCAGCACUGGGGUGCACUUGUGCCCGUUGAGAUAUGCAAAGACGAUUCUUCAGAUAGGUCUUAUUUAUGAAAUGUCGUUAACUGGCAACUUACGGCGCACGGAAGCCUUGGUGUUGCGCCAUGCCCGGCCAUCGCUCCGAUCGGGCGCCGCGAUGGGAACCGCAGCGGCCACAAAUACUCGCAGCCGCGCCGGUAUCGCUCCUUUUCCGCCUGUGCGUGAGCGGGCGGGCCAUAAGGCCCUGCCAGCUCCGCAAGGAACAGCACCGACACACCGCUAUCGCAGCUGCAGCCGCCGCGGCCGCAGGUGAGACCGCGCCCCCCGCCCCCCGCCCCCCUGCCCCCCCAUGCAGGCUGUACUGCGGCGGCUGUUGAGCUGGCAAGCAUGUGUGUUGGUGGCUGUGGGCCAUGCGUGCUAGACAGGUGGUGCGGAAUAGCGCGGCGGCUGUGGAGAAUUCUUUGCUCCUGCGCCUGUCUACUGAUGGGGGGACGUGGCCGUUGCAG
Molecule: long non-coding RNA, 608 nt
Filed under: Chlamydomonas reinhardtii
Lineage: Eukaryota; Viridiplantae; Chlorophyta; Chlorophyceae; Chlamydomonadales; Chlamydomonadaceae
Description: long non-coding RNA (CREI_LNC001122)
Source: RNAcentral